Molecule: non-coding RNA, 640 nt
Organism: Electrophorus electricus (electric eel)
Lineage: Eukaryota; Metazoa; Chordata; Actinopteri; Gymnotiformes; Gymnotidae
Source: RefSeq, a predicted model, not a curated record
AAACAGGAGAAUUGUAACGGUCAGUAAUUUGCGGACUGUCCCCUUAAGUUACGUUUACGUAAAAGGCGUGUGCACGUAGGCCACGCGGAAGAGUUGGUUUUGUACUGUGCGUGACGGACGUUGCUGGACCCAGAUCUUCAUUUAUCGUUAUUUACUUCUUUAGUAACGCAUUAUGAGCUUUGGAUGUUUUUACAACUCAUGUAUGAGCUGUCUACAAUACUCCAGGAGCCAGCCUGUGUCACGUGGUGAAUAAUCCAGCAAGUUUACUACUAAACUAAGUGAUUCUGCUCCGCAUCUCCUCCACGUGCUUCACACGCUUCUCUCUACCAGUUCCAAAGAUCUGCUCAUCUGGGUUGGAGUAUAAUUUAAACAGGACUAACUCCAAGCGUUACAGUAUGUACUAAAGUAGACAGUUACUGUAUGUGCAAGGCCGGUGUUCUUAAUAAAGUGACCGUGUGUUCCAGAGAGCUUGCGUCCUCUCAUUGGCCUGUUCCAAUAUUCUCCAAAACGCCGCAGAGCACCAUUGGUCUGUUCCAACGUGCUUCUCCAAUUUUUAUUGGCUCUCCCGUUGCUGUCCCAGCAUCCUGCCACACUUCUGACUUAAAGCAUUCGAAUGUUUUCCAAACUGGCAUCUCCAUAU